This 406-nucleotide ribosomal RNA is filed under the name uncultured bacterium. RNAcentral describes it as "partial 16S ribosomal RNA". It matches the Rfam family "Bacterial small subunit ribosomal RNA", at positions 29 to 526 of the family's 1533-position model. The record is from RNAcentral.
AUCGAACGCUGGCGGCAGGCCUAAUACAUGCAAGUCGAACGAGUGGCGGACGGGUGAGUAAUGUCUGGGAAACUGCCUGAUGGAGGGGGAUAACUACUGGAAACGGUAGCUAAUACCGCAUACCAUCGGAUGUGCCCAGAUGGGAUUAGCUAGUGGGUGGGGUAAAGGCUCACCAAGGCGACGAUCCCUAGCUGGUCUGAGAGGCUGACCGGCCACACUGGGACUGAGACACGGUCCAGACUCCUACGGGAGGCAGCAGUGGGGAAUAUUGGACAAUGGACGCAAGCCUGAGGGAGCAACGCCGCGUGAGUGAAGAAGGCCUUCGGAUUGUAAAAUACUGUCGGCAGGGAAGCGUUACCCAAAGAGAAAGCAACGGCUAACUACGUGCCAGCAGCCGCGGUAAUAC